Molecule: ribosomal RNA, 253 nt
Filed under: uncultured bacterium
Lineage: Bacteria
Description: partial 16S ribosomal RNA
Rfam family: Bacterial small subunit ribosomal RNA
Source: RNAcentral
UACGUAGGUGGCAAGCGUUGUCCGGAUUUACUGGGCGUAAAGCGCGCGCAGGCGGAUCGUUAAGUAGAAAGUGAAAGGUUGGGGCUUAACCCCAACAUUGCUUCCUAUACUGGCGAUCUUGAGUCCCGGAGGGGAAAGCGGAACGACACGUGUAGCGGUGAAAUGCGUUGAUAUGUGUCGGAACACCAAUGGCGAAGGCAGCUUUCUGGACGGGAACUGACGCUCAGGCGCGAAAGCCGAGGUAGCGAACAGG